AGGCAGCAGUGGGGAAUAUUGCACAAUGGGGGAAACCCUGAUGCAGCCAUGCCGCGUGUGUGAAGAAGGGCCUUACGGGGUUGUUAAAGCACUUUCAGUAGGGAGGAAGGUAGUGUAGUUAACACCUGCAUUAUUUGACGUUACCUACAGAAGAAGCACCGGCUAACUCCGUGCCAGCAGCCGCGGUAAUACGGAGGGUGCGAGCGUUAAUCGGAAUUACUGGGCGUAAAGCGCAUGCAGGCGGCCUGUUAAGUCAGAUGUGAAAGCCCCGGGGCUUAACCUCGGAAUUGCAUUUUGAAACUGGCAGGCUAGAGUCUUGUAGAGGGGGGUAGGAAUUUCAGGUGUAGCGGUGAAAUGCGUAGAGAUCUGAAGGAAUACCAGUGGCGAAGGCGGCCCCCCUGGACAAAGACUGACGCUCAGAUGCGAAAGCGUGGGGAGCAAACAGGAUUAGAUACCCUGGUAG
This 463-nucleotide ribosomal RNA is filed under the name uncultured bacterium. Its description in RNAcentral is "bacterial SSU rRNA". It matches the Rfam family "Bacterial small subunit ribosomal RNA", at positions 346 to 793 of the family's 1533-position model. The record is from RNAcentral.